CCUACGGGAGGCAGCAGUGGGGAAUUUUGGACAAUGGGCGCAAGCCUGAUCCAGCAAUGCCGCGUGCAGGAUGAAGGCCUUCGGGUUGUAAACUGCUUUUGUACGGAACGAAACGGUGAGCUCUAAUACAGUUUGCUAAUGACGGUACCGUAAGAAUAAGCACCGGCUAACUACGUGCCAGCAGCCGCGGUAAUACGUAGGGUGCGAGCGUUAAUCGGAAUUACUGGGCGUAAAGCGUGCGCAGGCGGUGAUGUAAGACAGAUGUGAAAUGCCCGGGCUCAACCUGGGACCUGCAUUUGUGACUGCAUCGCUAGAGUACGGUAGAGGGGGAUGGAAUUCCGCGUGUAGCAGUGAAAUGCGUAGAUAUGCGGAGGAACACCGAUGGCGAAGGCAAUCCCCUGGACCUGUACUGACGCUCAUGCACGAAAGCGUGGGGAGCAAACAGGAUUAGAUACCCUGGUAGUCCACGCCCUAAACGAUGUCAACUGGUUGUUGGGUCUUCACUGACUCAGUAACGAAGCUAACGCGUGAAGUUGACCGCCUGGGGAGUCGGCCGCAAGGUUGAAACGUCAAAGGAUUGACGGCUGAGAGNGCGAGGCGCACGAGGGGAGGAGG
This 615-nucleotide ribosomal RNA is filed under the name uncultured bacterium. Its description in RNAcentral is "bacterial SSU rRNA". It matches the Rfam family "Bacterial small subunit ribosomal RNA", at positions 338 to 947 of the family's 1533-position model. The record is from RNAcentral.